This 412-nucleotide long non-coding RNA is filed under the name Olea europaea subsp. europaea. The record is from RNAcentral. Lineage: Eukaryota; Viridiplantae; Streptophyta; Magnoliopsida; Lamiales; Oleaceae.
CUUUGAUCAUACUAAAACUGAAAAUUAUUCUAUGUCAACAGAAUAAAGCUAGACAAACAUGUCCCUAAACUAAACUCCACAAGACUCACUUCAAUUAAUGUUAUAUAAGAGACAUUUAUCUUUGAUUUUUAUCAAAAUCAUAAAGCUAGACAAACAUGUCCCAUACUGCAAAUGAAUGAAAUAAGCUAAAACAAAAUGCACUUCUGCACUUCUUUAAACUGGAAUACGUGCAACACUUGCAUAAGCAUAACUCUGUCUCAAUGUUAUGAUCCAUGGGAAGUUGAGAUUUUUACAGUCUCAUGUAUAAUUACUAGUGCACAAUACACAGCUACAGAGUAUGGAAUAUGCAUUUUAACAUUCAAAUAACAGAUGGCUAUUUACAUACUUAAUAUACUGAAAUGUAUUAAACGAC